CUGACUUGAAGGAAGGACCCGUCAAGACGAGUCUACUUUUCUGCAGCUGAGACAGACUGUUCUCUGUAAACCCUGCAGAUGAUUGUGUGGGAAAAUCCCCGCAGAUCAGCAGUUUUGAAAAUACUCAGACCAGCCCGUCUGGCACCACCAAAAACCACGCCACGUUCAAAGUCACUGAAAUCACCUUUCUUCCCCGCUGCGUUGCUCGGUCUGAAAGCCAGCAGACACGAACGUGGACACAAGUUCUUUCGUCUUGUCUGCAUAACAUUCAGUAUCUAAGGGCUUUAUAUCACGCCAGAUGAGCCAUCAAUCGAUAGCAAACUCUCCACCCACCAUAGAGAAAAGCAGCCAACACAGAGCCCCACAUAUGGAUACCCAUCAUACUCCAAAGAGACAGGAGACAUGGAACAAAGUGAAGUCUGUGGCGCUGUGGGGGCUCAGUAGAGCAGAGUAGAAUGAACUUACAGAGGUACGGAGGGACUUUGUGCCGACAUUUCUCCUUUAAUAAAGAGCACGUACUCCCACCUCUCACUGCAAACUUAGAGAAGCUUUAUUGGUUCACAUCUGACUGACUGCUGUAGCCACAGGGGGUGGGUGUGCAUG
Long non-coding RNA from Oreochromis aureus, 603 nucleotides. RefSeq lists it as uncharacterized. The record is from RefSeq and is a predicted model, not a curated record. The transcript is spliced from 3 exons. Lineage: Eukaryota; Metazoa; Chordata; Actinopteri; Cichliformes; Cichlidae.